Molecule: ribosomal RNA, 256 nt
Filed under: uncultured bacterium
Lineage: Bacteria
Description: partial 16S ribosomal RNA
Rfam family: Bacterial small subunit ribosomal RNA
Source: RNAcentral
UACGUAGGGUGCAAGCGUUAAUCGGAAUUACUGGGCGUAAAGCGUGCGCAGGCGGUUAUGCAAGACAGAUGUGAAAUCCCCGGGCUCAACCCUGGGAACUGCAUUUGUGACUGCAUGGCUGGAGUGCGGCAGAGGGGGGAUGGAAUUCCGCGUGUAGCAGUGAAAUGCGUAGAGAUGCGGCGGAACACCGAUGGCGAAGGCAGCCCCCCUGGGCUAGCACUGACGCUCAGGCACGAAAGCGUGGGGAGCAAACAGG